GGCGAUCUUUUUGAGGUCAUUAUCGUGAUAGGAGCAAACGUAUGUCAAAACUAAUUAAGUUUUACACUUUAAGCAUGUGCAGUUUGUUCUGUGUUAAUAUCUCAGCAGAAUUGUUUUUUUAAAAAUAAAACAAACAACAGUUCAGACUCCUCUGUAAAAGACAUAGAGCUAGGGAAGGCGGGAGAGCCAAAGGAUCAGAAACUCUGUGGAAUGUGCUGUUCAGUGGCCAGAGGGGAUGAGAAAAGUGUUAUUAGGAACACGCUGCCCACUCAGACCGAACACCCUGUUCUCAUGAAUGGUGCUUCUCGUGGCCCCCCUCCUAGUUCUGUUCAUGAAGCUCCUUGACCUAGGUUUUCCCAGUCCCUUGACCUUCUUCAUUUGAGGUUAUAGAAUGGGCCUUCCGUGUGUUUUUAAAAAUUAAGUAUUUAUUUUUCAGGGGAGUGCAACAAGGAUUUGUGUUUAUUAAGUGUACUUCUGGAAUUUUUCUAAAGGUUCCUGGAACAUAUAAAUGAUAGCUCAAACUCUUACCUCUAAUUUCUAAGACUCUACUCAAAUUGUUGUGUUUCACAGGAAUUCAUUGGAAUUCCAUCGGAUCAGCUGCUUGUGUGAAGUAAAUGGAAGAGGCUCAGAAGCAGACGUUGAAUUCCUGCUGGAACCAGUUAGAACAUAGUUGACACAGUGAAGGUGUUUCCAGGGCCUAAUGAAAUUGUACAUGAACCUGAGAAAACACCCAGCUGAAACCUUUCCAAGAAAGACAGGUGUGCAAAUGAUUCCUGCUGAGAGUAGAAAUUUUAACAGAGUGGAGAAAGAAGACACAAGCUGCAAAAUGCCAACUUGUUAAAAGCUCCAAACAAAUGCCAGAGACUCCUCCGCAGCCAAUCCUUGAUGGCCCCAUGAGACAAUGAUCAUGUUAUGAUCAAUUGAAACAAUUGAAAAGUGUGUGCCUAAGAU
This 951-nucleotide long non-coding RNA is filed under the name Vulpes vulpes (red fox). Its description in RNAcentral is "lncRNA (ENSVVUG00000007520.1)". The record is from RNAcentral. Lineage: Eukaryota; Metazoa; Chordata; Mammalia; Carnivora; Canidae.